RNAcentral lists this non-coding RNA (45 nucleotides) under Trichobilharzia regenti. Lineage: Eukaryota; Metazoa; Platyhelminthes; Trematoda; Strigeidida; Schistosomatidae. The record is from RNAcentral.
AUCCGGCUGAUGAGUCCCAAAUAAGUCGAAACGCACAUCCUGGAU